Molecule: long non-coding RNA, 756 nt
Filed under: Cicer arietinum (chickpea)
Lineage: Eukaryota; Viridiplantae; Streptophyta; Magnoliopsida; Fabales; Fabaceae
Description: long non-coding RNA (CARI_LNC003130)
Source: RNAcentral
ACCAAUGCAUUUUGUUUGUUAGAAACAAUAGUAUAUGAACAAGCUCAAUGUUUAUUUCUUAUAUUAGUAAGUAGUGAAACAAAUGAAUAAUAAUAGUUGUUAGUUACAGUAACAAUAGAUAUGCCUACUUACUUUUAUGCAACAAAUGUAUAAAAAAAAGGCAUUCUUUUAGGUGUAAGAGGCAAAACGAAAUAUAUUUGUCAUUUCUUUAUUGGUAAUUUUUUAUGAUAAAUAAAUGUAAACUCACAUAAUUAACAAAUGAAUAAAAUAUGUGUAAUGUAAUAUAUGAGUAUGUAUGUUAUUGCAAGUAUACUCAAAAUAAUAAUGCCCUGCCUCCUCUCCUAUUUGUGAGAGACUAAUGUAAUAUAAGAUUUAAUUCAGUGCAUAUGUGAAUGUGUAAAUAACCAAUUAGGAAAUGAAUGAGUGUUGUUGGUGACAUGCAUAUUAAAAACCAUUUCAUGAAAUAAAAAGUAUAUAUGAUGAUCAUUAAGCAAAAGAAAUAGAGUUAUUAACAUAUCAAGUUGAGUGUUGUUGUGUUGGUGAAGUGAAGUCCAAGUGGAGUGAAAAUAAGCAAGAGGAUAAUUUGUAUGGUGGGAGAGAACUAUGGAUAUAUUGUUGAAAUGGAAGUGGUGGUGUUGUGGUGUUAAUGAAAGAGUUAGAACAACCAAAGGAAAAUGUUAUACAUUGUGUAAGCCAAGUUUAUGUAUGGUGGGAGAGAACUAUGGAUAUAUUGUUGAAAUGGUAGUGGUGGUGGUG